AGUGAACGCUGGCGGUAGGCCUAACACAUGCAAGUCGAACGGCAGCACAGUAAGAGCUUGCUCUUACGGGUGGCGAGUGGCGGACGGGUGAGGAAUACAUCGGAAUCUACUUUUUCGUGGGGGAUAACGUAGGGAAACUUACGCUAAUACCGCAUACGACCUACGGGUUAAAGCAGGGGAUCUUCGGACCUUGCGCGAUUGAAUGAGCCGAUGUCGGAUUAGCUAGUUGGCGGGGUAAAGGCCCACCAAGGCGACGAUCCGUAGCUGGUCUGAGAGGAUGAUCAGCCACACUGGAACUGAGACACGGUCCAGACUCCUACGGGAGGCAGCAGUGGGGAAUAUUGGACAAUGGGCGCAAGCCUGAUCCAGCCAUACCGCGUGGGUGAAGAAGGUCUUCGGGUUGUAAAGCCCUUUUGUUGGGAAAGAAAAGCAGCAGGUUAAUACCCCGCUGUUCUGACGGUACCCAAAGAAUAAGCACCGGCUAACUUCGUG
This 492-nucleotide ribosomal RNA is filed under the name uncultured bacterium. Its description in RNAcentral is "partial 16S ribosomal RNA". It matches the Rfam family "Bacterial small subunit ribosomal RNA", at positions 29 to 507 of the family's 1533-position model. The record is from RNAcentral.